RNAcentral lists this ribosomal RNA (397 nucleotides) under uncultured bacterium. RNAcentral describes it as "partial 16S ribosomal RNA". It matches the Rfam family "Bacterial small subunit ribosomal RNA", at positions 523 to 918 of the family's 1533-position model. The record is from RNAcentral.
AUACGUAGGGGGCAAGCGUUAUCCGGAAUUACUGGGUGUAAAGGGAGCGCAGACGGCUAAGCAAGUCUGAUGUGAAAGUCAUGGGCUCAACCCAUGGAUUGCAUUGGAAACUGCGAAGCUGGAGUGUCGGAGGGGUAAGCGGAAUUCCUGGUGUAGCGGUGAAAUGCGUAGAUAUCAGGAGGAACACCGGUGGCGAAGGCGGCUUACUGGACGAUCACUGACGUUGAGGCUCGAAAGCGUGGGGAGCAAACAGGAUUAGAUACCCUGGUAGUCCACGCGGUAAACGAUGAAUACUAGGUGUCGGGGGGCGAAGCUCUUCGGUGCCGAAAGCAAACGCAGUAAGUAUUCCACCUGGGGAGUACGUUCGCAAGAAUGAAACUCAAAUGAAUUGACGGGG